This is a long non-coding RNA of Anopheles gambiae (African malaria mosquito), 843 nucleotides long. RefSeq lists it as uncharacterized. The record is from RefSeq and is a predicted model, not a curated record. The transcript is spliced from 4 exons. NCBI's taxonomy places the organism in Eukaryota, Metazoa, Arthropoda, Insecta, Diptera, Culicidae.
AAGCUUUCUCCUCCUGUACAGGGACGCACAUCCAGCUUUAUUCGUUGUCCGACACUGACUGACUCCCUCACACUCUCUUAGCUGUACUCUAGGAUACCACAACUGGUUCAUCUUCAUCGAGCAUAUAUAAACCAAAAUGGUUUGCAUACAGAGCAAUGCAUUUUAUGCAUCAUGUAAAGGAAACUGCAUCAACAAUGGACACCCUCUUUCGGACUAUUCAAACUGCAUAACUGUAAGUAAUGGAAAACUAAGGUAACGGUCAGAGACUCGCCAUAUGCUUUUGUAUGGGUAUUGAAGUUUAUAAUGCCGCAAAUACAUCACGCGCGUUUCCCUGGGCACGUCCAAAUGCGUAUAACUGUUCCGUAGAGGUAUCUCUGCGUUUCCGAGUUUUCGCGAUCGAAUGAUAUUCCAUUUCUAUGGAUGGAUCGUUAUAUGCGGGCGCGGAAACGCGCGUAAUAUAUUUACGGCCUAACAGCAUUUGCUAAUUUGCCGCAUCGCCGCUUGCAAUUUUAUUCCAAAUGUUUCAAAUAAUAUUAAAUAAUGAUUAUCCUUGUCAACAAACAACAAUAUCUCAUAUAAAUACCCCAAACAAGUAGAAAAUUGAGAAAACUAAUUUCUUGCUACUUGCGGCGAUUCUCUGACCAUUACCUAUCCACAAACCCAUCGAAUCGUCAAUUCCGUAUAUGUUUGACAGGAGUUCGACAGAUAUCCUUCUGAAGAUUGGCUAAAGCAGAGAAACGAUGGGAAGGAACUGGCCAUCAUCAUCAUCAUCAUCAAACCCUUUUACAUCACACCAAGAGACUUCAGACAUAGAAAUACCUAUAUUUCUGGAUCCAAAUUCUC